GAUGAACGCUGGCGGCGUGCCUAAUACGUGCAAGUCGAGCGGACGGACGCGUAGCUUUCUUCUGUGAUGGUAGGGGCGGCCGAGUGAGUAACACGUGGAUAACCUCCCUCUCAGUCUUUGAGAACUUCGGGAAACCGGAGCUAAUACCACGGGAUAUUUUGGACCUCAUGGUUGAAAGGUGUGAGACGGUUUUUGUUUCACUUGUAGAUGGGUCCGCGCCGCAUUAGCUUGUUGGUAGGGUAACGGCGUACCAAGGCGACGAUGCGUAGCCGACCUGAGAGGGUGAUCGGCGGCCACGGAAGUGAGAAACGGUCCAGACGACUACGGGAGGCAGCAGUAGGGAAGAUUACGCAAUGGUCGGAAGCCUGACGGAGCAACGCCGCGUGGGGGAGGAAGGUCGUCGGAGCGUAAAAAUCUGCUUUUAGGGAAGAAGAUAUGUGGAAUCGACUGUGCACAGCUUGACGGUACCUAGUCAGAAAGCGACGGCUAACUACGUG
This 497-nucleotide ribosomal RNA is filed under the name uncultured bacterium. RNAcentral describes it as "partial 16S ribosomal RNA". It matches the Rfam family "Bacterial small subunit ribosomal RNA", at positions 28 to 507 of the family's 1533-position model. The record is from RNAcentral.